AUUGAACGCUGGCGGCAGGCCUAACACAUGCAAGUCGAGCGAGCGGCGGACGGGUGAGUAAUGUCUGGGAAACUGCCUGAUGGAGGGGGAUACCUACUGGAAACGGUAACUAAUACCGCCUACCAUCAGCUGUGCCCAGAUGUGAUUAGCUAGUAGGUGGGGUAACGGCUCACCUAGUCGACGAUCCCUAGCUGGUCUGCGAGGAUGACCAGCAACACUGGAACGGAGACACGUGCCAGACUCAUACGGGAGGCAGCAGUGGGGAAUAGUGCACAAUGGGCGCAAGCCUGAUGCAGCCAUGCCGCGUGUGUGAAGAAGGCCUUCGGGUUGUAAAGCACUUUCAGCGGGGAGGCGUUACCCGCAGAAGAAGCACCGGCUAACGCCGUGCCAGCAGCCGCGGUAAUUC
Molecule: ribosomal RNA, 406 nt
Filed under: uncultured bacterium
Lineage: Bacteria
Description: partial 16S ribosomal RNA
Rfam family: Bacterial small subunit ribosomal RNA
Source: RNAcentral